AACAGCAGACACACCUGCAGGCGCAUAAAUUAGCGCCGCACCUGCGCGCAAUGUGGUUUCGGAAAUUAGCUUGGUUAUGCUUCUCACAGUGUGCACUCCCUCUUUAAAGAGAACUUUGGUAAAGACUUGUGGACACAGAAGCUGACUGACAGACAAAUAAAGUAAACUACACAGUUUGGAGGGUGACUGAGGCGUCUGAAUGCACUUAAAAGAAGGUAAGCUUUGUAACUUUGCACUUAGUGUCUGUGUGUUCCUGUAGCUCUCCUUGUUUACAACAUGAAUGUGCCGUAUUUGCCCAUUUUAAUAUGUUUAAAACUUCAUAUUAAACUCCAGCCAUUACGAUUUUUUUUCCUGUGGCAUAAAGGAAUAUAAAAAUGUAACUGGCAAACGCAAUUUGAAGUUUUCCCUGCUUUUGUGAAGAAUAAGAAAUGCCAUCCCAUCUUAAGCCUUUCAUUUGCUCAUAUUCUACAUGUGGUGUUAUCUGGGUGAUGUCCCUUAAGCACAGAGUUACCCAAGUAAAUAAAGCCCACCCCACCCCACCCACCCAAUAUAUCCCCCAAAACAGCAGAGGUAUUCCUUUAAAGUCCCACACCCUUACCUGAGCAGUGUGUUCAAGAGGAAAGGAGCUCAGUAAGAAUCACUGCAGACUCACUCCUCUGUCUUAAAUCCAUCCAUACUUUGAAGCAAGGGAUUCCCGCCUGAAAUUCCAGUCCAAGAUAAAGAGCUCAAAAAGAGGAGCUAAAACGCUCUUUUCUUUCCCUCAGUGUCCUCUGUUUCCGUCUCCUCUGGACCCCCGCUGCUCAGUUCCCAAUGCACAAACAGUCAGAAAAGGCAAAACAGCCUGGGGUCUAAGUCACAAACUGGCCAGGACAUGAGGGUUGGGAGGCUGAUCAUGUCAGUGCUGUAUCAGCCACAUGCGAUCACAGAUCUCUUGUCUUCUCCUUUUCCUUCUUGCCCGUGUCUCUGCUCCGUCAGUAGACCUCCUCUGUUGUGAUGACAGGGAGCUAAUUUAGCCCCCCUCACUUGUCGUCUCCUUCUCACGCGUGCGGCGGAAGGCUCCAGUGGAAUGACUGCUCUGUCUGCUCUUGGCUGCGUCCCCCCAUUGAGAAGCUGUGCUGAUAGUGUGAGCCUCAGUCCUCUCUCCAGCGCACUAAGUAGAGUCUGUGUGAGAGAGCCUGAGCGAGUGUGUGAGAGAGCGUGCUUGUGUGUGCGUGUGUGUGAGUGAGAGUGUGUGUAUUACAAUGAAGCCCAGCUGGAAAGAGAGAGAGAGAGAGAGGGAACUGGGAGAGAGUCAGAUCACAUGUCUUAAAGCAAAGCCUGCCCACUUCUGCAUCAAGACUUCAUCAGUAGAUUAGGCAUGCUUUAUUAACCCAGCCCUCUAUAUAUCCCGGGCUCUUAUCCACAUGUGAGUGCAGUGUUCAGCUCUCUCUGAAUGUGUCUGAGCGUACACAUGUGUGUGUGUGUGUGUGUGUGUGUACUGGUGUACACUGAAUGUGCCUGUUUUAGUCAUCGCCCUGCAGAGUUUGAGGGGUGGGAGAGAAGUAUGCUCCCAGAGCUGCACUUUUAAUAGAAGGCAGAGUGUCUCAUCAGAGAUCUGCAAUCACCAUAUUACCCGCCACGAGCCAGCUGUGCUUUUCCUACCUGUUUUGUUAGGGUUUGUUUGUACCGCCUGCACUCUUUUUUUUUGGAGCUUUCCCACCAAUGAAGCCUGCAGCAGAUUCAGUUUUGGAGACGGUGACAGAGCCCAUGAGCCUCUCUCUGCCACCUUCUCCAAAACUGAAUCUGCUGGCGUCAAAAGAAAUCACAUCCAUUGUCUUUUGUAUGUGUUUGUGUAGGUGUAUUCUGCAUGUGCGUGUCCUUGCUGUGACUGAGCCAUGCAGGCAGGUGAGAGCAGAGUACGUUUCCCUCCCAUAUGGAGGAGCUCCUCUUUAACUCAUUAUAUUGUUAACCAGAGAUUUACAGUAUAUGCCAAUCCUACGCACCUGCCAUGGCUGACUCACUCACAGUCUGACAUUUUAUGGGAAAUAACCCCUAUGCUGCUCACAACAACGCACAGCUGAGGGGCUGUAUAAGCUGGCAGACAGAGAGGGUGGUGGUGUUGGUGCUGUGGGGGAGGACAGACAGAUGAAUUUGAUGAUGAAUAUCCGGAUAAAUUCUGUGUCAGAGCUUGAGCUGCACCCUGUUUUCUUUGCAUGUUAUCAUUUGUGUGGAUACAGUGCAAGCCAUGGUGCAAAACGAUCAGCCGUGUUAUUGGUUGUCGUCUUGUGGGUGGAAUUUCCGAAAAUGGGUAACAAGCCCUUUAAUUGCCAGUUACUGUGCCAUGCCACAGGGCAGCCUGGACUAUCUCUGCUAUCACCUCUGCAUGUUCCGUAUACACCAUUGUAAGAUCUGAAAGCCAGAUGUGCACAGCCCAGCAGAGUCACAGCAAGAAGGGAGGGAGCAAAUAUAGAAAAACUGUGUAACAAAAACUGAGGAAUAGAUCUGGUUGGGUGGGUUGAGGAUUGGGGUAUUACUCGCUCUGCUGGAUUACUCUAAGCGUGAUGUGAGUACCGGGUGGAUAAGGUAGUAGCUGUUCGCGGAGACCUCCUCCUAUGGCUGAAAAUAAGAAUGCUGUGGUAGUUUUUCCAGCAUGUGUUAGUGUGUGUGUUUUUUGUCUUUGGACUGUGUCCUUUGUAUCCUCUGAGCACACAGCUCUACAAUAAUCUAAUGGGAAUGCAGUUAUGAACGGUGGAGCUGCCAUCUGGAUCUCUGUUGGGUAAAGCACACCACAUGUUAGGUGACCAGACACACAUUAAGCAGGAAGUGUAGAGUAAUUACUACAUUGAUUAGUGUUCCUACACUGUCAGGCGUUAUUUGCACAAAACAGCAUGAUUACCAAUAAACAGGCUUAUUUGUAUGUGUUGAUAUAUCCUUUUGUGUGGAGCUCUAAUAGCACGCACGCUUGAAUUUCAUUUUGUCGUCGCUGCUUAAUGUUUUUAUGAUCAGUCUCGUUGGACUGAGAUGAAGCCGUGAAAUGAAACAGGCCCACAAACAAGCCUCAGAGGACAAUUUAAGAUUGAGGCAUCCAAUUACUACAUGUUCCUUUCAGCAAUGAGCAGUACCACCAAAAGUCCCCCAUUUGUAUCUUAAUUUGUUUCUUUUGUUGAUUUGUUGUGCUCUCCCAUUUUUUCACUCUGCGUCAGUGUGAGCUGUGUUGGGGGAAUAGACUGGGACAACAGAAUUUCACAGUAAUUCUGAAUUGUUGUCGUGGUCCCGCUCUUUCCUGUCUCCACUCUCAGGGGCUUCCAUCAUUUCCAAACAGCUGUCGCUGCAGCCCGUGCCAAGACCUAACCACAACCGACAAUCACCGGCCAACUCUGUGUUUGGAUCUGGGCAGCCCUGUGAAACAGCAGUGUUUGCCAACGUUGCUCUCUCUCUCUCCCUGUUUCCUUCUCAUUCUGUCGUUUUCUUUCUUUCUGUUUUUCCCUCUGGCUAAUAAAAAUCUUCCUUCCAGUGCAGCCAACAAGCUUCAGUAUGCAUCUGCAAGCAGUACCAAAAUACCCUUUUAACACCACCCAAAUCCUCCCAUACGCAGCAUCUUCUGUUUUCCUUUAAAAAUAGAGCCUCUGUCCACUACUAUUAUUACUACAUACUUUCAACAAAUCUCACUGGAGCACACAGAGCAUUUCUUUAUCUGAUGAAGGAUUUGUUGUGUUCGUGAACCUACUCUCUAUAGACUCCUGCUACACAAAACAUCCAACUGCAGAUAAGUGUAGAGUGACAGAGGGAAACAGGGAUGGAAAUUGAGAGAGAAAAUAGCAAAAAAAGAAGUAAAGAUUAAUGCAGGAAGCGUAAAUUCAUUUGGAAGAGGUAUGCAGCGGCAGUGCUUGGUCAGUGGAGUAUGGUGAAGGGAAGAAAAUGAUUUAUGAAAUGAAGGAUGAUGCAAAGAAAUAAUUUAUUUCACAUUUAUCAGUGCGUCCUUUUUUUGGCUUUUGCUCCUCUGUUCAGUGCCGCAGAAACCUAGCUGUGAGGAUAUUGUGCAUUUGUGGAAUUUUCAAUGUAAAGGCUAAGGUUGAAGGAUGGACAGUUUCACUGCAUAUAACCUCUCUCAGGAGUUACCUUCAUCUUAUCAAUCCUGUCAGCAGAGAGAGCCAGCGAGAAUAAAUGCAAUACAUGUCCGUUCAUAUAGAAGAAUGAGUUGAAAUAGAGUAUCACGUAAGUAUCACGAGUAUCAAGUAAGUAGAUUUUUCUUUCAAAAUUAUAAUAUCCUAAAUCUUUUUUUGUCUGUGUUUGUUAAAAUGUGGUGCGGUAUAAAGUUACAUGAUUGAAAAAAGAGCAAAGGAGUAGCUAAAUCAGUCAACCAGUCAGUCACCCAUUAAACCAAUCAUUAAUUGAACCAAUUAAUCAACAAAGUACUAGUUUACCAAUCAACAAACAAACCAAAUAAUCAACCUGUUGAGAAACAAACCAAUCAAUCAAUGAAGCAGUCGCUGACUUAGUCAAUCAACCAAUCAGUGUUGCACUUGUUCAACUUUUAAAUCAACAAUGACCCGAUUUACAAUUCAACAAAUCAAUCAAACCAGCAAGCAGGCAAGCAACAAAUUAGCAACCGAGCUACUGUUCAUCCAGGAAGAGUCCAGGAAGAAUGGAUCGUAGGAGGACAAAGGAACAGCCAUUUAUAACUCCAACAGUUCCAGGCGUAAACAUGUCUUCAGGAGUCAUCUGCAACAUCCUGUAUGUUGUCUUUACAUCCCAGCCUCAGCUGUGUUUUGCCUCUGACUUGUGUCAUGACCUGCUCGCUUGCAAUAGAUCUUUCAAAUUGUUUUCCUGCCCUGGCAAACACUGCAGACAGCGAAUCAAAGUCAGAACCAGUUUUACUUUGUCUGCAGCAUGGCUUAUACAUGACGUGUAACUGUGAGAGUGAACUGGAGCUGUCUGCUCAUGCCACAUACUUCUGCCUGUCACUUAUAAGUGCUCAAGUCUGGUAUAGUUGGGUCUUCUGCUUAGAUAAAAACAUAUAGAUACAGGACAUUUCAUAGGCCGCUGGUCUGAUUAGUAGAUAUACAAUUAGGGAUGUAACAAUAUGAAAAUUAAACAUCACGAUUUUUGUGAGCAGAAUUGUCACGGUUAUCAAUAUUAUCACGGUAUUGUUGAAAUAUGUUCAAAAUGUUUAAAAAGUACUUGUACACGCCCUAAAAUCAUUUAACAAAGUUUUAUAAAAAAAAAAAAAAAACAAUCAAAAAAACACACAGAAUGAACUUUUCUUAACCUGAAAUAACAGAGAAACGAUAAGCUUAAAAAAUUAAAGAUGGGGCCUUAAAAGAGCCAGAGGUAAUCAACACCGGUGCUAGUAAUAACAAAGUACAAAGUAAUGUGCCAGUGGCAUAAACAUUAACAUAAUAACAAAUAAAUAAAAUUUAAAUAAAAUGGCAUUCCUUAUUGUGCAAUUUGUAAGAAUCUUCAGUGCUCAAAAAGAUCUACUCUUACAAAUAUAAAACCGAGCAACACUACUAUAUGAAACAAAACAACCACAUGUAAACAAAUGUGAAGUGCAGGCGUUUAAAAUAACAUAGAAUAUGAAAACAAAUCAAAUAAUUCACUCUGAUUGUCUGUUUUCUCCACCAUAAGGUGCUUCUGCUGACUUUGUUCACUACUGGAGAUUGAAAUGUAAAAAUGUCAGCAUAUUUAAUUUCCUGGUUUGAGUAGUGAUCUACAAGAGAAAACGAUGUGCCCGCUGGCACUGAAUAUCCUCUCGGAUGGCACACUGGUUGAUGGGAUGCACAAAAGCUUCCUGGCAACCCUUUGUAGAAGCUGAAAUACGCCCAGACUUGGGACUUUGUUUUCUUUAACAGCGGAAAAAUUUCUGCCUUCCGCCAUGUUUACAAGUUGUAUACUGCGCAGUGCACAUGCGCGCGGCGCGCCUGUGUCUGAAAGACUGCUGUGUGUGGCUGCUCUUCUCAGCAAUGAACAGUCUGUGAGCUUUUCCAGGGUGCGGUAAUCAAACACGGUUUUAACGGUAAUUAAAAUUUGAAACGGUAGUACUAACCGUCAGACAUUUUACCGCAGUUUAUUAUUUUACCAAUAAUCGUUACAUCCCUAUUUACAAUAUAAAUGAUCUACUCAAUAUCAUGGAUAAAAAUAUAUAACUAUAAAACUCAAAAUGUAACAGAAAUUAAAAAAUAAUAUUGACAAAGUAUGACAUCUAAAAAUGAUCAAAGCACAUUUCAAACAUGCUAUCCUUCCGACUUCCGACACUUCCGGCAAAAUGCAUUGACUGUGGUGUUUUCUCUCUUCACAUGGAUAUGAGGUUCCUUAUUGAUGCUUUGGCAUGUGGGCACAUUUAUGCUGAUGAGCAUAUGACUGGAUCUUGGCAAACAAAUCGCUAUCCUCUUGGCUUACAAGUAGGCGGCUGACAUUCUCUGUGAGCUGCUCUUUUUUAUACCGAGCACCAUCUAUUAAGCCAUGAAAAGCCAUGAUUAACAUGAAAUGACAACGCUGAAUUUCACAGUUGCUUUACUGUGUGGGUUAUUUUAGACCUUUUUAAUAUUCUAUUUUGUGUAUGGUUUGUAAAUGUCUGAACCAAAACACCAAAUAUGUUUUUUCAUGUGAAUCUCAAACUAUGCUAGAUUGAUGAAACGUUAUCAUAAUUGUUUGUUUUAUAUACUGUGACGUUAAUUACUUUUGAUGUGAUAGAAGAGAGAAACAUUUCGCAGAUACAGCUUUCUUCAAGCCUUGUUCCGAAAAUGUACUGUAGGAAAGAAAUCAAAGCACAUCAUCUGCAAAUGAUAAUUUUUGGCAGGAGUUAUUUUUUAUUUUUCUCUGCAAAUCAGAAUACCGUAUUUAUAGAGAACUUUAUUUCUUGUAGGGCCACAUGUUUUUGUAAUCUUCUAACAUAGUGAAGAAAGCGUCACUGAGUGACAACUUGUUAUUUACACAAUUUUUAAACUGAAAACUGUUCAAGCAGCUCUGAAACCUGAUUUUGUGUCGUAUGGAGAGGCAUGCUAAUGUAGAGGUUUUGAGCUGGUGCCUGUCUUUCCCUUUUCCCAAAGGGAAUGAAAUUUGUCACAUAUUCAAUCAUAAAUUGUAGGCUGGAGAGAGAACAAGUUGCAGGGUUUUGUGUGUUUGAAGUAGGUCAGUAAUUCUGUGUGGGUAAUGCGCUGGGACUCACCAGGUCUCAGCAGGGGGGCCUUUCCUCUCCCCUGUCGGUUCACGAUGGAGGAGUAAUUGAGCACUCGAUGACUCUACUCGUGGAGACGAUGGCGGCCAUGGAAAUGUCCCCUCACAGACCAAUAAAAAUGUCCUCUCCUUCUUGCUGUAAUUGGACCAGGGACAGUGGGGUUGGGUUCUUGCCUGAGGAGACCACCUGUGGAAAUGCUGUGCUCAAUACAUGGCUAUUAAACUGAUGAGACAGGGGACAGGCUGAGAGAAAAAGGCGUGACAAAGAGAGGGAUGCUGAUGAGAACGAGAACCUGCUGCCUUUCACCGUUUGAAUUGAAAACUAUUGCAUGUAACACGUUGCUCCAGGCCUUCACGAAUUGACAAGCUGUCUGUGUUGGUCAACACUCCCUCUCAUCAGAAAUGAAUCAGGGAAUCAGAGUCGGUCUUCUGUUUGGCUGCUUGACAAACUAAAUUUGGAACAUAUUUACAAGAACUCAUUGCAUGUGGAAAUAAGUUCCCUUGCAGCAAGUUGUAUAAUUUUUACUCUUUUUCCACACCUAGCUCCCACUGCUGAUUUUUAAACCCGCAUUAAUUGAUUUUCUGGCCACCUGGGGGCAACUGCAACAAGCUGUAAACAAGAGGUUGACACAUUAACACCUCAUAAAGGUGAUAUAUAGCAAGUGGUUUCCUGUUUACACAUCCAGCAGACUUGUUUCAGCCUUACCAUCCAUUUGAAGACUUUGUUUACUUUUGUUUUUGUCUGCUACAACUCCUGGAGGAAAAUCUGUCUCCUAAGCUGUUAGAAACCUUCUCAGUCUAGUGUUUGGUGCUGGACAGGUAGUGCACAGUGAAUCUGAGCUUUUGUGCUGAAAACAUACAGCAUGCUGUGUCUGGGAAUUAUACUGAUGAGUGAAAGUACACCAACGACAGAAAGUUGUGGAAAUAAGUUUUCAAGAGUAGAAAUCUUCCAUUACCACUAAAGGUUUUCAGAAAAAAGACAAGACUAGACUUGGCUUUCUAGGAAGUACUCAAAACUUCAUGAAACAGGUUUUUUGGACACCUUUUUUUUGCUUUUCAGAUUCUUGCCAAACAAACAAACCAAAAAAAAACUUUGUCUUUUUUUUGUUAUUGACAGCCAAAAUGAAUUUGCCAAGGCCCACUUAGCACCUGCUGUUUUGACUGACUGCAAACUAUGAAACACUGUCACAUCAGAGCUGGAUUGUAAGGCACCAAACCCUGGGCCCAAGAUGAGCCUUAAGCUCUCAGUAUUCAAAUCCAAGUUGAGUCUGUGUCGCCACAGAAGAAUCCUGGCUGAGUCCAAGUCAAGUUAGAGUUGGGUCCUCAUUAUUUCAGCAGUCAUAUUGAGAAGAAAAGCAACUGUUUGACUCUCAACUAGUCACUGCACAAACCUUGACUAACAGUAUGGGACCUUUUGGAAAUGAAGACAUUUUAUUUCAUCAACAUUUGACUCUGACAGAUCCUGUCAGUGUGUUUGGAGAUUUCAUUGAUCAAAAAGUUGCAGCGCUGUGUUUCCUCAGUUAAUUUGCAUCUCACCUCUCUAAAUGUUGGAGGUGAGAUUCUGAUCACUCAAAAAAGUACCUGCAGCUUACCCUCUUUUAUAGUUGUUGUGAAUUUUUCAGUUUGUGUCAAUUUUGGCGCCUCCUGCCUACAAAGCGAUACCGCUCGUUGCUUGUUCUGUACAUGUUAGAGCGGUGGGUUGAAAACAAAAAGCCUCACCGUGUUGUCUUCCAACAGUUAAGUGUCUUACUUACUGUGAGUAAUUGCUUUUAAAAAAAGAUUUUUAAAAAAGGCUGUUUCUUCAGCCUGCUGUCAAUCAUCCAGUCUGACACCAGCCUCCUCACAGCAGUUUCAGGCAUUAUAAUGAAAACAGAAAAAAAUAUCAGCCUUUUUGCUGAUGAACUUGUUUGCUUUUAAAGGUCACAAAAUGGCAUCAGAGUCAGUUUCAGUCUGUUUCUCAACCAGGUACAAACUCCUUAUAGUGCCUUUAAUCAAAACUUUAACUAAACGAGCAUUUUGGACCUGACUAACGGUAAUAUUAUCAACAAUCUAAGCAAACUAACUGGAUCUCAGUUUACUUACUUUUCUCGCUGUACUUUGGAUGAAUGUCUGUACUGUAAAAUCGAAUGUCUAACUGUAAAAUCAAUAAUCAGGAGGACACCAUCUUUUUCUUGAAACGGAAUACAUUAUUAGGGUCAAAUUGUUAAACUGGAGUCUUCAACCAAACAAUAAGCUGUAACUUGCAAUGCAGUGUUUUCACCAAACUAAGACAUGAAGAAAAUGCUAUAAAGCUCCUGUAAGGACACACACACACACACACACACACACACACAUAUAUAUAUAUAUAUAUAUAUAUAUAUAUAUAUGUGUGUGUGUGUAUGUAUAUAUACACAUAUAUGUAUACACAUAAACAUAUAUACACAUAUACAUAUACACAUACAUAUAUAUACACACAUAUAUACAUACAUACAUACAUAUACAUACAUAUAUAUGUAUGUAUAUGUAUGUAUGUAUAUAUGUGUGUAUAUAUGUAUGUGUAUAUGUAUAUGUAUACAUACAUAUACAUAUAUAUGUAUGUAUAUGUAUACAUACAUAUACAUAUAUAUAUGUAUGUAUGUAUAUAUAUGUGUAUAUAUACAUACAUAUACAUACACACACACACACACAUAUAUGAACACACACAUAUAUGAACUAUAUAUAUAUAUAUAUAUGUAUAAAUGUAUAUAUAUAUAUAUAUAUAUUCAACAAUCAAGAUCUUCAGCAUCAGGACUGACUGUUUUUUAUUGUGAUUUUUGAUGCCUAAAGUUGGUGUAAGGGGGCAGGUGUCAGCUGAGCAGCAAAACAAACAGCCCUGUUUUUACUGUUUCCGCUAUUUUUACAGUUCCUUCAUUACUUAUUCAUAUUAAAUGAUACAUUUGAUUUAUAAAAGUCAGCAGAUGAGAUUUCUUAUCAGAGGACCCUUCUUAAGCACAUAAAGCACUGGACUAGCAAAGACUGUUUUGUCCAAAGUUGACACAAACUGAAAGUUCCUCACAGGGGCUUUAAAGUACUGCUGAGUUGUGUGCUCGUUAUUGGGGGUUAACAAACGUUAAAGAUGACACUGAAUCUCUCAGUUUAUCGUGUUGUCAUAGAGACAAUUUGUCUCAAUACAUACAGUAUAGUUUUUAUCUGUUCUCCAUUAGAUUUUUUUGAUCUGGAACUUUCAUUUCGAAGUAUGUUGCUUUUCUUCAGGGCAAGUAAAAUGUUUUCUCAACUGAUUUUUACACCUUCAUCUGGGCGCAGUGUAACAGUCGAACAAGUUUGAUCCUGAGCUGACCUGUAGAAAAGGGUACGAUCCCUUUCAGCAAGACUCACGCCUCACUCAGGUCAUCUCAAAAACACACAGAUCGCAGACAGAUUCAAUUCCCAGCUGAUAGACUCAGAAGGUGUGCAGAAGAAUAGAUUGAGACAAAAGUAAGGGAGAGAGAGAAAGAGAGAGAGAGAGAGAAACAAGCGAUAGAAGGUAGAAAGAAAGGUGGUAGAGAGAGUGAAACAGGUAAAAGGCAUUCACUCUCAAGCCCCAUUCAAACAUUCAUCUGGCUUCUCUCUCCGACUGCAUUCAUGCUGCACAGCCAAUUCCAGGGCGAUAAGCCAGCUGUGUGCUGCUCAAGGUAAGGGAGUGAAUAGAGCAGUACAAUCUCUGGCUGAUGCUGAGGAGGGACGGAGCCUACACGCUGACCUUCCUUAUGCCAGCUUUACUUCAGUGGAGGAGGAGGGUUUCAUAAAGGGAUUAUUCUGCUCAGCCACCUUUGACCUGUCUGGCUGCCUUCCAUAACUGCUCAAGCUGCCUGUCCAUCACUCAAAGAGAAGCAGAGAGCAGGAGGGAGAUAAGAGAGGAGAUGGUUUCAACCUGUGGGAAGGGAUUAAAACCGCUGUUGCUUCACUGUGAAAAGAUGGCAUGAAAUACAGGCGGAAAAACCAACAACUGAGUUUUCAGCCUGACUCAGCAGGUCAGUGUAAUGUGAAGAAACCAGAAUGACCUUUUUCAUCAGCCGUGAGACAAGGGUGCUCAACAUUUUCCCUCUGCUGACAAUUAUGAUCUGUCCAAGGGGGAGAUGACGCCCUGAGGAAAAAAUCAUCGGCUGCUGAAUGCCAAACAUCCUGUGUUUCCACCCACAAAUGAUUACAUUUUCCAGAUCGGAAAAGGACUUCUUAAUGUCUAUAGUGAGAGGUCCUGAGGAUGAGUCAGCCAUACUUGAGAGCAGAAUUAUAGAGCACACGUGUUGGAGUGACUCACCCAAUCGAGGAAACAAUGGCUGCAAUGUUAUCCUGAGUUCCCAAUAUAGCCCUGAGAGUUUGAAAUAUAUUUUGCAUGCCUGUCAUCAUAUUAUCCUCAGUGUGCUGAGACACAUUAUUGUGCGAUGUAUCAAAGUGUGUGUUUUGAGGGUUGUGAGUAAGGUGCGUUUGUUGUCCUGAAUGCUUUGAGCUCUUAGGGACCAUAGCUGACCAUGACAGACAGUUGAUGUUUUGGACAACGAUAAGCCAGUGAGCUGUAACAUCUCACUCCAGCAAAAAACAAAAUCUCCCCCAAGUCUCAAAGGAAAGCGCGGAAAAGGAGGCAUCCAAUUCCACCUUCUCUUCAGCAACCGUCCGCCAGGCGGGAAUGAAAGAAGGAUGAGAGGGCGAGGAAGCAAAGGAGAUUGAGAAACACAGAGAAGAGGGUAAAGAGGGAGGCUGAGAAAAAAGGGCAGAAAGUGAAAAACAAAUGCAUGAAACAAGCAGGAAGCAGAAAGAGAAAGGUGGCGAGAGCAGUGAGGACUUUCCCCUCUCUUCUCAGUGCUCCUCCUUCCCCCCUCUGGCAGUGUGCUGGUUAUUUACUGCAGCCUCUUCCUCUCCCGGUGGAACGAGAGGGAAAUGGGCUCUUAACCGGGUUUCCAUACAUCACCCCCUGACACUGAUGCCUGUAGUUGUGGGAUGCAAACAUCUGAUGAUUCUUUUUAAAAUCAAUUAUUCAGAGAGUAUCUAAAGUGGCUACGCAAUUCAUCACAGCUAAUUGCAGUGCAUCACCCCUGUCAUUUAUCAUGUCAGACAGAGCUUGUUCUGUUUCAAGUUUUGUUUUAAGUGGUGGAGGAAAGGUAGAAAAUGUUCCUGACAGUGGCAGCUGUGAAAUGGUUGAAAUUCUGUUGAGCCGCUUACCUGCCAUCAGUAUCAGCUCGAUAAACCAGAAAAACCCAUACCUGACAUUUAUAGGUAAUUUAAUGACAACCACAGUCAUUGGUUUUAUGUUGUUUUUAGCGCACUAGCAGUACAACUAAAAUAAAUCAAACCUUAAGAAACCAAAUGAAAAUCAACUAAACUGGAAGUAGCUGGUAUGACUUGGCAUGUUCAGUGUGGCUGUCAUGAUAAGUUGAAACCUGGAGGAAAAAACAAGAAAUCGAGAAACUUUUCCUCUUGAUUUUAGUCUACUAAACCAUAAGAAAAUCAAAUUAUACCUAAUCUUUCAAGUUUUGAAGGACUUCGUCACAGAGUUAGCCACAGGUAAAGUUAGGUUGUCAUCCAGUACCCAAUAUAAAAAUGGUUCUAUGUAUGGCACUGAACCAUUUUCUUUCCCAUUAUCUCUGUUGAGUCUAUUUAUCCUGGUACUAACAGGUGAGCUGGAACUUACAAAUAAAUCAAGACAGAUUUGUGAAAACCCAAAGUAGAGCAAAAAUCUGAAACACUCUUCCACAAAGAACAACAAAACCUUUAUUAAACUUGACAUCAGAAGAGCUAACGUGGAUGUCUAAAGCCUUAUCCAAACAAGUGCACUUAGCAGCAAUCCAGAUAGUUUAAUGGUCAAAGACACUGUUGAAAAAAACAUUGGAAGUGGUCUCCAACUAAAGUAGCUAUUGCAGGGAGGAACCUACACAGUAUCCAAGUGUAGAAGAAGAAUUAGACCAUGGUUCUUUCCUGUGGUGAGGUUUGGAGCUAAAAGCAUUUGGUUCUUUUUUUGUCCUUUGCUUUGAGUACUGUUGUUUCUUUUUUCAUUCUAUGUUGCUGUUGACUGUGUAUUCCUUUAUAUGUACAGAUUUUCUAAAAUGUGGCUUUCUCACUUUGGCUUCUUGAAUUUGAGAGUUACUUGGAAUCCAUGCACUGCUCUCACAGGUGUGGAUACCUAAUACUAAAAACUUUCAAGCCAGUCGAUCCUGUAUGUUAGAUCAGUGGCUUUUGUUCUGUAUAUAUGGAUUCUGUGUAUUUAGAAUAUGCAGAAUUUAGAUGUUGCACUUUAACCCAUUAUUCGAUAACCUUUUAUUUCAAAAAGCAACUGUGAGUUGCAUAACUGAUCUCCAAGUACUUAACCAAAAUAAUUAUGAUAGCCAUUGAGCAAUAUUGUGUAGUAUAGAUAUAUCCCAGAUUUAGACUUGGUCUUAACUUGGUUCUAAAUUUAGACAUCUAAAACAAACGUUAAUUUUUAGACCUGUGGUAGCCUGAUUUUAGACCAGUCGUCUAGGCUACAUUUAGACGUCUAUUAGACCUCUUUUAGACCAAAAAAUGCUCAGUGGGAGGAUGGCUGAACCUGUGAAGAGUCAAAAGUUUGGCUGAAUUCAACUAAAGCAAAAGAGGAAGAUGGCAAUUUAUGUUACAAAGGAAUUUCUUGCAAGUGAACAAGCGUGACUGUCACAACCAAGCGCAUCAUCAUGUGGCAUCAAAUCAAACUAAAAUGCAGAACUUUUAGUUGCUUUGAGUUUCAGAAACUCGAACACAAUGAUGUGUUCAAGGUCGGCCAGUAAAAUGACCAUUUAGCAAAUGUAAAUAAUAAAUGAUCAAUAACCAGUCUCUUUAAAAGUGCAGUCUUUGUAUUUUUGUCCAGUCUCUGUAACUGAUAAUCGCUGUGAUAAUUAAGGAGGCCUGAUAACGGUAUCAGUAUUAAAAAAAUUAACAAUCCCUUUUGCGUAGAUAGGAGAUGGAAGAAAGGAAAAUCUACAGAAAGCUAUCCCUCCAAGUCCUGCCUUCCUUUGUCUUGAAAUUACACCAUCAGUAUCUCCCAGCUUUGUCCUUAUGUCUUGUAUUUCAGGUAUUACACAGCGCAAAUUGUUGAGACACAUGAUGAAGUUCCUCCCUAUCUGAAGAAAAGCACCUGCUGCCCACAGGGUGGAUUAAGUUGUCUUCCUUUGCAGAAAAAAUAUUUAAAUAUCCUUUCACUGUCUGCCCCCCAGCAAGAGCUUUCACAGUCUGAUUGCUUUUAUAUGAGGCUAAUGAAAUAUGAUUGCAUUAUGAGGCGAUUCAAUAAAUGCAUUAACCUUUACAAAUCAAAACAUGCCAUCUCCUCCUAGCUGUUGUUGUUUGCUUAAAAAGGUUGGACAAAACAAAAGCAUAAUUAUCCUCACACAUUUCCACUACUCAGUCUAUUGUUUGUAAAUACCUGUUGACCUGUUGCUCCUCUCUUUAAUGGAAAUAAUAGAAUUUUAUGUGAAAUUUUCUAUUUAUUUCCCCAGCAUUUGAAGGAAAACAGACGUGUUAUCAAUUUGAAAUGCCAUGACUCUCAAAUGCUCUACAAAAGCUUCCUAGAAAAGCACUUUUCUACUCAGAUUUUUAUGUACAUGACCUUUACUGCAUUCAUUAUUUCAUUCUUGUAUGAUAUUCAUGUCAAUUUUUCAGGGCAGAUUGAGAUAGACCUUGCGGAAAAGCAGCACACAGGCCCAAAUAUGUAAAAGGCCAUAAGGGGAGGAAACCUCGAGUAAGUGCGAGGUGAAUGAUGGCAGGAUGAUCGGGGGGAACGAGAUGAAGACAGCAGCAAAAAAACAGGGCAGCACGAGCGGAGGGAGGGAGAGGUCUGAUUGACAAUUUGCAUCCUCUUCAGAGGGUAUCAGGGGACAUGAUUGAAUCCAGUCAGGCUGAACCCAUUAGGGGAGCAAUGCUGUCAGAGGCCGAGCAGAAAGCCAUCCACCAGCACCCGGUCCCUGCUCUUCUCUGGUCUCCAUUUAUAUUCAUGCCGGGGUUGAGUUAUUGGGGAAGUAGAGUGAGGGAGAAAGUAAAAAAAGGGAACUCAAGCCGGCCUCGUCAAGCCAUCCAUUUGCUACUUUGCGAGCUGUAAAGUUCUUACUUGCUGCUGAUGAUUGCUCACUUAACCUGGGCAAGAGUGAUCCCAUUUGCAUGUGAUUUUUCAUGAGUCAAUAUGUCCAUAAAUUAGUUUCAGAUUGUAGACAUGUAAUGUAUCAAACCACUUAAAAGCACAGGGAAAAACCAUUUCAAAAGCCCUGGAGUGGAUGCACGUGAUAUUUGCAUUUUAAGCAGUUUAACAUGUCUCCUCUCAUUAGUCCACCUUGACAAUGUUUCCAUAACUGAAACCUAUCUGGUGCAUUUUCUUGGGAGAUAGCCGCUUGGCAUCCCUUGGCAGAGCAGAGGCAAUCAUUUUCCUGAAGGUUUCUCUUUGUAUUCCUCAGUAGAUCCCUGGGCGUGAUGAGAAAAGCGGAGAUAUAACACACUUGAGGGCGUGAUAAGCCGCAGCGGCCGAGGGCUUCUGGGAACACUUCCUGACAGCCAUCCCAGCCCUCGUGUCUCCAUUCACCUCAGCAAGACGCCUGAUCCAGAGCUGCCUGAGAGACUGACUAGGUGACAAAAGAGGUGGAGUUCUGUGGAGAGUAUUCCACAUGUCGCAAUUUAUCUCACAAACACAGCACAUACGCCCAAAGCUACGGUAUUGCAGCAGCUUUGGUUUAUUCCGUACCAGCCAGCUGUCAAAGCAGGGAGGGUGGAACCACGCCGACAAAAUUCUCUUUCUUCUCUAGAGUGAAAAUCGAGAGUAAGAAGGAAAGAUUUUCAUCCUUUGUAUGUGAAAAGCUCAGAUUGGACCUUUUGUCUGAUUCACCAGCUGUGUGUAACUCAGCAGUGAGUCUCAGAAAAAGGCACACUGGCAUUUGGAAGCAGUUUUAGUCUUAUUUUAGUUUGUAUUAUUGAAGUACACUCCAUAGGACGCCAAAUCGCCUAUUAGGCUGUUUUCAUAGAGGCCGUCAUGGCGCCACUAAUCCAGUUUCUGAAUUUCUUCUCCCUUCUUUGAUGUAAUUACAAAAACACAAAUUUAAUAAGACUGUUUGGAGCAUUUUGAAAAUGAAGCUUAGGCUGAAAUCAUAUUCAAAGUCAUAGCCAUAGAGGUCAUUUUAAGGAAGGGUAAUUAGAUGGGAGCUUCUGCUCUUGGGACUUGUGCGGCGUAUAGGCAGAGUCAUUUUUGUAGACACAGGUAGAAAUACAUCUGUUCCUAAUGCGACUGACUGUUUUUACCUCCCUCCCUCUCUCUCUCUCUCUCUCUGCAUCUGUCUCUUAUUCUCUCUCUCUUCCCUCCUCUCCUGCGUCUCUGAGGUUUAAAAUAGUCACGGAGGGAUCAUGUUCAAGUUAUGAAUGUCCCAAUUAGCCGGCAAUGGAGAGAGAGGGUCUCGAAAGUGGUACUCAAGUGACUGGUGCAAAAACAUUGCUGGGCUAUAGUUUUUAUUUAGGCAGGCUUAAUGCAGGCUAUUGACUUCUCAAUGAGGACCAGGAUUAGGUCAAAUAUACUUCACUCACUAAUGCAUGCCUAAUGGUUCUGCUAUAGAUUAGCCAUAAAAGUGGAUGAUCAUAAAUAUUGCUGGAUUGUAAAACAUUUAUGAGUGAAAUCCAAUGCCCGGCUUCCAAAAUUGUGAGUCUUUAAGUGGUGACUCUGAGAGCAGCGAUAUGCUGCUGCAUGUUUAAAGGUAGUGGAAAAUAUUUGGACUCAGCAGAGCAACUUCGAUUCAAGCAUCAUUCAAUAUCACUCAACAAGAUGUGUUUUUGUUUUGUCUGCUCUAUUCUGUCGCAUUUUCACCAGCUGGCGCAGCCAAAGCAGAAUCAUGAUAAAUGAGGAACGGGUCAUGUUCAGGUUUCCAGAGCUGACAUGUUCCUGCUUUAUUGCCAUGGCUACUUCUGUCUCUGUGACACAUCUGCUGACAAGCGCCUGCUUCACCUGUCACAAGCUCAUCUGUCACCUUUGACCCCUGGCAGAGAUUCAAGCAAGGGGAUGCUGAGCUCAAUCUCCCAGACAGUCACAGCCGCACAACACUGUCAGAGCUGUGUGAUACACUUUCAGAUUGAAAGGAGGAGUGAAAAUUACAGCACGUGGAGAAGUAGCAGUCAGCAAGAAGUCCCUUCCCCUCGUGGUUUAACAGAAGUUGCUGCUGUUGGGACUGAAGGAAAAGAAUCUGUAACCACUCUCAAGCUUCAGUUGCUUUUACACCUAACCUGUCAACCCUGAGGAAAAACUAGCUCUGAUGUGUGCAGAAAAAGUGCAAUUCAGUACAUAUCUACAAAUCUUCAAAGUCUAUUGAAAACCAAAACAUUGUUGUAAAGGCCCAGAUCAGGAGCAGUAUAUGCAACAGUUCAGUUGCCAUUAAACUAACUCUCAAAUCAUUUGUUAAAGCGUUGUUGGGCAGGUCAAUGAAGACAAGUGCAUGGUUACUAUAGUUAAUACUAUCAAAAGUAACUAAAUACCUGAUUGAGUUACUGCAUUAUAAAAGCAGUUACUUGGGAAAGUAGCUUUUAGCUUCAAUAACCCUAGUAAGUACCCUACCGCUCAUCUUAUUUUGCUGGUUUGUUCUCUGACUUCUUUAAAGCCAAGCAUGUCUAAAACAAAAACCUUGCAACUGGUAUGUUUAGUCCUAUCUACCUUACUGAUUAUGAGGUUGGCUGUGAUUUAAAAUUAAGCCUCUGCUGAGCUAACUUCAGCUGCACCAAGGUCACUAAUAUCUGAUCGUAGCGACAAGAACUCUCAAAUUUGUGUAACUUGCCAACUUUUUUCAAACAUAUCUACAUUUAACAUUU
This 17940-nucleotide long non-coding RNA is filed under the name Xyrichtys novacula (pearly razorfish). Lineage: Eukaryota; Metazoa; Chordata; Actinopteri; Labriformes; Labridae. The record is from RNAcentral.